AGUGAACGCUGGCGGUAGGCCUAACACAUGCAAGUCGAACGGCAGCACAGUAAGAGCUUGCUCUUACGGGUGGCGAGUGGCGGACGGGUGAGGAAUACAUCGGAAUCUACUUUUUCGUGGGGGAUAACGUAGGGAAACAUACGCUACUACCGCAUACGACCUACGGGUGAAAGCAGGGGAUCUUCGGACCUUGCGCGAUUGAAUGAGCCGAUGUCGGAUUAGCUAGUUGGCGGGGUAAAGGCCCACCAAGGCGACGAUCCGUAGCUGGUCUGAGAGGAUGAUCAGCCACACUGGAACUGAGACACGGUCCAGACUCCUACGGGAGGCAGCAGUGGGGAAUAUUGGACAAUGGGCGAAAGCCUGAUCCAGCCAUACCGCGUGGGUGAAGAAGGCCUUCGGGUUGUAAAGCCCUUUUGUUGGGAAAGAAAAGCAGCAGGUUAAUACCCCGCUGUUCUGACGGUACCCAAAGAAUAAGCACCGGCUAACUUCGUG
RNAcentral lists this ribosomal RNA (492 nucleotides) under uncultured bacterium. RNAcentral's name for it is "partial 16S ribosomal RNA". It matches the Rfam family "Bacterial small subunit ribosomal RNA", at positions 29 to 507 of the family's 1533-position model. The record is from RNAcentral.